GUACCCGUCCAUGGUAUUUCUUGGUGUCUUCAUAAUGUACUGGCUAAUAUCACUCCUCAUAGUGAGUGAUCUAAGAGAAAGAACAGAGAGGAAACCAUGAUGCCUUUUUAGUCUUAGAAGUAAAUCCUUUUAUUUCUACCACUUUCUGUUUGUUAGAAGUGAGUCACCAAGUGUAGCCAACACUCAAGGGGAGAGGAAUUAGACUAGGAGGAACAUCAGAGAUUUGUGAAUGUACAUUAAAACUACCACAAGCAUUACUCAAGUUUUACUCAUUGUCCCAACCAUGCCCUUUAUAUCAAAAGAAAGUACAGGAUCAUCUGCCUUUUUUGUGCUCUUUAAUCUCAUUCAUUGUCUUUCACAACACUGGCAUUUCAGAGGAGCAUGGCCGGUUGUUCUAUAGAUUCUCUCAAUUUGAAUGUCUGAUAUUUCCACAUGAUUAGAUGCAGUUAUGCAUUUUGGUAGGAACAUUUCAAAGGUAAUAUUCUCAUUGCACUGUACAGGGAGGCCUAUAAUGUCAAAUUUUCUCACUAUCGGUGGUAUUAAGUUUAAUCAUUUGUUAAGUUGAGUAUUAAAUUAUUUUACUUCCUCUCAAAGCUUUGAUGGUUGUCACUGGACAUUGUGGUAACUACUACUUGUUAAAACUGAGAGAUACUGCUCUCUUAUCAUUCCUAUUGUAUGAUUCCCCAAAUUAUUUUAUGUGCCUUGUGGAAGGGGUUUAUACUCUGUUCCAAACUUUCUCUUAAUGGUAAGCUAGUAAGUUGGAUCCUCACCAAAUGAUACCAUAUUUACAGUGGCUGUUGAUAAUCAUAGCUAACAAUCAUUGAGUGCUUACUAUAUUUCAACAUUCUAGAUACAUUUGCAAGUAUUAACUAGUUUAAUCUUUUCAAUGUCUUAUGAAUUGGAGGCCAUUAUGAUUUAUGUUUUGCUGACUGGAGAGUGAAUAAUGGUAAAGGUGUGAGCCAGAUUCAGGCAGUCUGUCUCCAGAGAUUGUACCCCUAAUUGCUAUGCAUUACUAGCAUGAAGAGGAAUGCCUCCUGUAAAGUUAUGAGAUAUUUGUAAACCUCUAUGUGAAUGUAACAUUUCCAAGGCAAGAGGAGCAGGAGUUAGGAGGGAACAUAAAAAAAAUCUUCCUCUCCCCUCCCCCAACUGAAGAAACCAAAGCUUAAAGAAAGUAUUUACUACUCAGGGAUAAAGGGAUAAAGUUGAGACAAAAUUUAGAUCUCCAGAUACCCAAUCAGUCCCAUUCACUUUCCAUCAUAGCAUACUGUAAAUUUCUAAUAAAAUGAAAGUAGAUGCCCUGCACUCAAUUAUUUCACCAGGGACAAAUGAUAUAAUUCAAAGUUGAAUUCUCAAAUUAGUGUGCAGCAUAUGCCAUACAUUAAUUAAACAUGAACUGCUUUUACUUUUUAAUUUUUUUAAUUUUUAUUUUUUUGACUUUUUGCAUUUUCUAGGGCCACACCUGUGGCAUAUGGAGGUUCCCAGGCUAGGGUUCUAAUUGGAGCUGUAGCCACCAGCCUAUGCCAGAGCCACAGAAGUGCAGGAUCCAAGCUGUGUCUGUGACCUACGCCACAGCUCACAGCAACGCCGGAUCCUUAACCCACUGAGCAAGGCCAGGGAUUGAACCCGCAACCUCAUGGUUCCUUGUCGGAUUCGUUAACCAUUGAGCCAUGAUGGGAGCUCCUUACUUGCGUUUUUAGAACAUAAAAGGGCUUUGUGGGAAUGAUUUGGAUAACCCAUGCAUUUUUGCUCAGAUAAUCUGGUUAGUUCAAAUUUUUUCUUUUGUCCUAAGCAAAUAUAUUUGACAUAAUUUCUUUGCUCAUUUAAGAGUAAUCUUUGCAAAUGUCAUUUUGGCUUUUUGGCUUUUUUUUUUUUUUUUUUUUUUUUUUUUUUUUUUNNNNNNNNNNNNNNNNNNNNNNNNNNNNNNNNNNNNNNNNNNNNNNNNNNNNNNNNNNNNNNNNNNNNNNNNNNNNNNNNNNNNNNNNNNNNNNNNNNNNNNNNNNNNNNNNNNNNNNNNNNNNNNNNNNNNNNNNNNNNNNNNNNNNNNNNNNGGCAAUGCCGGAUCAUUCACCCACUGAGCAAGGGCAGGGACCAAACCCGCAACCUCAUGGUUCCUAGUCAGAUUUGUUAACCACUGCGCCACGACGGGAACUCCCUGCAAAUGUCAUUUUGAACAUACUCCUGAAAAGUUAUCAAGUAGAUAAAAUAUGCAACUAUAAAGAGGACCCAUUGCGUACAUACCCAUUUAGUAAAACAAUCAAGUUAUUCAUAUUAUUUAGUAUUGGCAUGUGAAAUUGAUCAACUUAUAUAGUGUAGUUGGCAGUAUUUAGUGAUGUAACCCUUCAGAUGUCUAUGGAUCAAUUACUAUUAUUUUUGCUAUAAUGUUAUUUUAUAAUACAUUGAUUGUUUUAAAGUGGUACUCAAGGCACCUCCAUACUUAGUGUCUUGCUUUAUGAUACUUAGCCAAGAAUGAUGAUGUUCAAAAUGGGUAUGUCUUGUACUUCUGAAUGGGAGCCAACCGUUCAGAACACAAAUCAGCCCAAAACAAUGCCAGACAGUGUAUAUUGGAUACAUUUGAGCUGUAAUAUACAUAGAGACAGUAUGGAGAUAAUGAUUCUCUUGUGUUUUAUCCUCUUGUUUGUAUUGGGUUGAUAUUCUUCUAUUGAUUUUUCUUUUCAUUAUUACAUCCCCUCCUACUAGCAUAAACUUACUUGAAAGGGAAAUGCAUCAUGCAGGCAGAGUUUAAAAGCAGAAAGUUGAUGGUUAUUUAUGGGCUGAUUAAAUUUUUGUAUCCUAUUAUGGGGAUGCAGGAUAUUUAGUCAGUUUUCCUGUCCUUCUAGGCAUACUAGAGGAAUACACUUUUCUAUCCCUUUACCAUCGGGUUGGGCCAUGUGGCUGUUUUGAUCAAUGGGAUCUGAAAAGAAGUGGUUGAAUGAAUCAUACUGAGCCUAAGAAUUUAAUUGCAAGAAUUUCUUCCCUUGACAAGAUGAUCAAGGAGGUCUCUUUCUCCCAGAUUAUGGAGCCUCCAUUAAUUUGGAAACUUGAGUGGUACAUGAAGCUGUCCUAUGUAGGAUUUUCAUGUAGCAUCAGUGAGAAAUAAACUGCUAUUUCAGUAUGCCAUUGAGUUUUGAGGUUUGUUUGUAAUAGUACCCCGACUAAUAUAUGUCCAACAGAAUAUUUAAUAAAUAUUUUUGAAUGAAAGAAUUAGACUUUCUUAAAAUUAAAUAAUUUCAAGGUUGAUCAUAAAUCAUAAAUAAUGCAAUAUUCUGUCCAGAUUUUAUCUUGAGUUUUACUGUAUCUUAUUAUCAAUUCAACUGACAUAUUUUCCCCUGGAUUUAAUAUAUAUCCUAACCCUGAUUUGAUGUUCUCACUUGAAGCCUUUACCUCUAAUUCUAACAUGCCAUGGCUGUUGUCUCACAAGGAUUGUGUAAGGAAAGGUUAAAUAUUCCUUCCAUAUUUAUUUCUCCUUUCUUACUUUCCUCAGAAAUAGAUACCUUUAAUAAUUUGUCUAAGGAACUACUCCUUUCCAUUUUUUCUGGAGUUGUGGGAACAUGCCUUACUAGAUAAAAGGAGAUGACAAACCUACUGCCUGAAGAACCAGACAUAUUUUGCAUUCUAUAAGUCUGUUAAGUCUGUCAAAAGUGACAAGGCUUUGUUUUGGAAGAAUUCGCCCUUCAUCAUUUGAGAAUAAUGUCUGUUGUCAAGCAGAUAGCAUCACCCUAUAGAGAUUGGGAAUUCAGGGAUCUGUUUCUAUCCCUUUAGCAGCUCAUUCCUUUAUGAGUCCCAGAAGCACUGUGAGCCUUUAGCUGGACUUGUGGAAGUUGUCAGAAAGAAACAAACAAACAAAAUUAAGUAAUGUGGGUUUCUGCAGUGUCAAGCUUCAUUUUUGUAAGAUUUUUGAACUUUUAGAAAAUGCCCGCUCAAUAAUUGGUAUUUCAUAAAUGAAAGAAAAGUCAUAAAUAUUUAUGAAAGACAUUAACUCAACAUAAUGCAGUAUAUGAGUAUUUAACAUCUGUGUCCUAAAUAAUAUGAUGCCACUCUGAGAGGAGGGCAGUGGGAGGAAAAUGCAAAGAGAAAGCCUGUCACCAUGCUUAUACAUUAGUAGAGAAAAAAGGACAUAUGCUGAAAUCAUUGUCAUGUAAGAGGGAUGAUAUCUUUGAAAUGAAGUUUUAUGAUAAUAAAGUAUCAAGAGAAUUUACCUCACAUUUUUAAAAGUUGGGGGCUAGGUAACUAUGCAUAAAUCACGUAGCCUUGGAAGAUUGAAGUUCAAUAUAAAUAAAUAAAGAGUUUAAAGACUAUAGACCAGACAACAUUGGAUGUGGUCCGAGGUUGGUGAAUUGUUAGAGACUGGAAAGGCUGGAGGACUGAAUGGAUGAGUUUGUGUGGGAAUGCAUACAUCCAGAGAGAUAGUUUGGGUGCUUAUCUGAAGCAGGUAAUACAUGAAUUUGCUUUGAAAGAAGGGCCCAUUAUAAAUUUUAGGAUAGAAAAAUGAAAUGGUAUAAAAGGCCUUUUAGUUUUUUGAAAAAUUAUGUUUUACUGAAAUGUAGUACUUCAUAUGUUCUCACCAGCUCAGAUCUCCCAGAAGUACAAUUUUCCAUCAAAGAAAUGUUGAGUAGAGCCUGGUAAGUUGGUUCAGGUCUUCAGAGAGCUCUGGUGAAUGUAGUGGGUAGCUUCCUAUGAAGUGAAGUUUGGCACUUGCCAUAAGCUUCUACAUGGAUUGAAUCAUGGGCCACUGCAGCUACCAGCCCAUGGCACACCCUGAGCGGAGCUCAGGGUGAAAAUCAGGAGUGAAGCACUCUGUGUCUGGGAAGACUGGAAGAACAGGUCUUCAGAUAAUCAGAUAUUUUUAGAUUUUAUGUGUGCAAUUCUUGCACCUCCUCAUAUCUAGAAAAACAUUCAAAUCCUUCAUGGUGAUGUCUGCUUCUUGUGACCUUCAGGAAAUCAGCAACAAACUUGUAAAAUGUGUGCCUGGCUGCAUGCACCUCCCCUUCACCUUUCUCAUAUCCUGAUUUUCCCCUUUCCUCUUUGGGUGGCAUUUCAGAGCUAUCUGAAGUACCUGGUCUGUAAUUAAGGGUAAAGCAAAGAAUGUCUUGGUCAUCUGGGAAGGCAGUCACCUCCAAAGGUGAGAGCAGGCGAGUCCUGCAGACUGACUCCUUGACUCAGGAUACUGGUCUUGACAGCAGAGGUGCAUAUCAAAGGUAUGAUUUCAGUGAACCCUGGCCUCUUUUGUUCCAGCUACCUGCCCUUUGUUGCAAAAACUCCUAUGUAUCCUAGUGCCUCCCUCUCCACCUCGGAACAGUUUCUCAGGGCUAUCUGAGUUGCUGUCUCCCAGGAUUAAGUCCUAAUUUUGCCACAAAUAUAACUUAACUCUCGGAGGAGUUCCCAUAGUGGCUCAGCUGAAACGAAUCCAACUAGGAACUGUGAGGUUGAGGGUCUGAUCCCUGGUCUCGCUCAGUGGGUUAAGGAUCUGGCAUUUCUGUGAGCUGUGAUAUAAGUCAUAGACACAGCUUAGAUCCUGUGUUGCUGUGGCUGUGGUGUAGGCCAGCAGCUGUAGCUCUGAUUCCCUGGGGACUUCCAUAUGC
This 5579-nucleotide long non-coding RNA is filed under the name Sus scrofa (pig). RNAcentral's name for it is "lncRNA (ENSSSCG00050039581.1)". Lineage: Eukaryota; Metazoa; Chordata; Mammalia; Artiodactyla; Suidae. The record is from RNAcentral.